Varanus komodoensis (Komodo dragon) is the source of this 4104-nucleotide RNA transcript. It is a transcript of the gene named chromosome unknown C7orf57 homolog, with no coding region annotated. The record is from RefSeq and is a predicted model, not a curated record. The transcript is spliced from 12 exons. Lineage: Eukaryota; Metazoa; Chordata; Lepidosauria; Squamata; Varanidae.
UCACCGCUCACUUCGCUUCUUGGACGCGACGCGCGCACAAGCAUCAGUUCCUGCUGCCCUGGAGACCAGUAGUGUUUGUAGUAACGGCUGCUGCGCCGAAGGCCGCCGCCUCCUCCUCCUCGGUGCGUUGUGUUUCGGUUCGAACUUUUCGGCCGGUGGGAAGCCGCUAACGGGGCGAGAGGCUCUUUCGGCUCCUGUGCAGUCCCAGCCGCGGCGAAGAACCCCGACGGCUGGCGGCGGCGGUAUGAGAAACACAAAUAAAGAGCCCAGAGGACCCUCAAACCGAUAUGCACCAUGUGACUGGUAUUAUCAUGUGCCACUAAAACGAUCAGAGGAACCUGUUAAUUCUGAAGUUCCGCAACAACCCUCAUCCCAGAUCCCAGGCCUUGGGGAUUUUGGAGAUCCUCACAGUGAUAUUACUUUUGGAGGGCGAAGGAAAUGGAUCAAAGACACUGACUCGGAAUAUGUAAAGCUGGCAAAACAAGGAGGCCGACCUGAUUUGUUGAGGCAUUUUACACCUACUCCGCGAAAAGUUUCCCUGGGGUCUUAUGGUGCACCUGAAUGGUACUUGCAGCAUAGCAAGCCAGCAGCAGCUGAUGAGUCUAAAUCUCGGGUUACAACCAUGCCAGACUACAUGAUUCAUGAGGAGUUUAAGACUGAUCAGUCUCCCAGCUAUGAGCCUAAAAGGGGGCCUUUUGAUUUUGACAUGAAAAGUGUUUGGCAAAGAGAUGCUGAGGACAAAGAGAAUAAAGAUAAAAGAGAGGAAAAUGGAGUGCUAGUUGACAGCUCUCCAGGAAGCAUGAAGGAAGAGAUCAAGCUUCCUGCUAUAACACCAAGAUACCCACACAGAAUGCCACAACCUAUUGCAGCUAAAGAAUUCCAUGGAGGAAACAGGCUUUACUUCCCUCCAAUGCCUGCUCACAAAAAAAACGAACCUGUAAACUUUAGCAAACUGAUCAGCAGUGGUUAUGGAGAUGAGUGGCUUCAGCAGCGUGAUGAGUGGGAGAAAAAAUGUUCCCAGCCGAAUGAUUCUCAUCCUCCUCCAAAUUCAGAGACGUCCCAGCCAGAAUCAACACAGACAGACAAUGAGUAAAAGUGGAUACUUCAUAGAUUUGCCACACAUUCUAUUUUUAUUUCAAAACAGCACUGAGUACAAAAAGCUUAAUACAGCUGAGGAAGCAGGCUUCAGUAGUUCUAUGUUUAUAUGUUAGGUUACAUGACUCUAACAAGGAUAUUGAAACAAUGGGACACUUCAUGCCAUUAGUUUUCUGUUUCAGUACGUUUGCAAGUGAUACGAAUUUGGUCCAGUAAUCUAUUCCAGCAAGCUUUUAAAAUACGGGUGCUUGCCAUGCAGUUUAAUACCUUAGUCCUUAUCUUAAGAUGUUGUCUGCUUCUAACGACCGUUAACACUAGCUUCUUCUGAGAUUUGUUCUACAGUCCUGACUUCUAAAGUCAUUCCAGCUAUUUGAGAGUUAGUGAACACUAGCAUUUAUGGAGUCAUAGGACCCUACUAAUAAAUGUUUUGCUAUUACAUAGAACUACGGGAAAGGGUAUAGUGAAACAAAACAAUGAGACCUUUUUAAGAGACAUGCUGUUUGCAAUGUUCCCCCCUGCAAAUGUUGAAUUUGGGAAGUAGAAUGCUGCAAAAUUGGAUUGGUCAUCCAGAAAUAGAAACAUUUCUAUUGUUUCAAAGUCUGUGAUUCUUGAGAGACUUCUAUAUUAGAAUCCUACACUAGAGAUCCAAAUUGACGUGUGUUUCAUAGAAGCUAUGGAUCAAUGCAGGAGAAGCAACAUUUGGCAACAGACUGAAUAAAUCGGAGCAGAGAGGUCAAGAGGAGGACUGAGCAGUAUCUUGUCUUUCCAACUGCCCCUGUGCUGGGGUCCGGAGGAUGCGGUGCGGCUGUUUCCAUCAGAGAGGGGCGCAAGAGAGCGCUCGUCGCUCUGUGCCGCCAUUCCGUUAUGGCAGCCUUCCGGGUUGAUGCUGGCAGGGGGACGCUGGGAGCUGUGGUCCAGCUCCCCAGGAGGUCCCCGGACAGCUGUGGUCUCAACCUUCCUGGAUUCCUGCUUGCGCGGUUGCCAUGGGAAGCACUGAGGUUUGGCUUUGCUAUCGCUGCCUCCAGCUUUCCGGACUCGUAAAACAAAGACGCCAGGGUGCGCGUCCUGUCGUUCAGCAUCAGAGACGAGGGGCCUUUUCCCGGAGGCAGCCUCCUGCGUGCUCCUUGGUCGUCCAAGAGUGGGAUGGCCUGCGGCUUGAAGCGUUCCAGGGAAGGAGAGCCUUUAGGCUUGAUUCUAUAGCCCGAAGCACGACGGUUUCCUUUGGAUGACGCUCCCUGGGAGCUCCCUUUCUGCUCCACCUUUUCUCGCACGAGAACUGUGCGUGUUUAACCCGGUUACGUUCGAUGAGACUUGUCCCUGAGUCCGUGUGCACGUGGCUGCAGGCGUACAGCUCGGGGGAGGGCUCCUUCCUUCCUUUUGUACGAUGUUUAUUGCGAGCUCUGCCAUGCAGCUUUGCCCGUGUUUUCUCCUUUGGUUGCGGAUAAGUCCGAUGGCUUCUGGUACUACUUUGCAGAAGGAGACGAGGGACAAAUGGUCUUCAGAUGAAGAACUGGGAAGUGCAGAAUGCCUCAAAAUGGAGGAGGGAGAGAUGAGGAACAAUUCUCCUUCGAAGUGUUACACUGUUAUCCCAGAAAUAGCAUUCAAAUAUCCAAGGGGGGGAGGUAAAAAGUGUUGAAAUGAAGAGAAAGAAUUCUAACUUCUGUUUGCAUUCAUUUGAUUUCCAUAUUGCCCAGUAGCUGGCACUUUCUUAGCAGUAUAGAACAGCACAUAAAAUAAAAUGCUAUAUAAAAUAGAGAUAAUGAUCAAAACAAUUUAAAGCAGCUGUAGGUAACACAAAUUAAGUCACAAGACUUUUUAAGCAGUUGAUACAAUGCCUCAGUAAAAUAUAAAAUUAACUAUAUACCCCGUGAUAGAGAGCAGUCUUAACCUGCCCCUGAAAAAAUAGCAUAGGCACCAGUAGGGUCACAGUGGGGUGCUUUUGCCAUAAUUGGGGACCUGUCACUGAGAAGGCCUUCCUCCUUGUUGCCACCAACCCAGCCUCCACUGGAGGUGGCAAUCAGAGGCAGGCCCCAGAUCUUGAUGGUACUGUCUAGGUAAACUUUAGUUAGGAGAGGUGUCCCAUCAAGUAUUGUGGUUGUAAGCCAUCAGUGACUUUAUAGGUUCAAACUAGCAUCUUGAAUAAAGCUUAGAAGCACAUACAAUGUAAACAAGGCCAGAACUGGUGUUAUAUAUUCUGACCCUCUGGCUGCUGCAUUUUGCACAGGUUGCAGCUUCUGAAUGGUCUUCAGGGCCAAUCCAGGUAGAGUACAUUGCACAAUCUGGGAGAGUGUGGAUUACUGAAGCCAGGCUAUCCCUGCCUAGAUGAAGGUAUAAAUGGGCCACUGAUCAAAGUUGGUGGAAGGCACUCAGCUUCCAAGGCCACAUGGGCUUCAAGUAACCAAGGUAAAGCAAGGAGAACUCUCCUUGCAUAGAGGGUAAACCCAGCCCCUGAGGAAGCCCAUUCUGGAAAGUCCAAGGGGCAAAGCACUGUUUCCCAAGGACCACUCUCUGGAGCCGGCCAUCCAAGUAGAGGUGAAACCACUGCAAUAUGGCACCCCCUGCUCCCAACCCAGUCAGCCAUUUUGGAAGGAUACUGAAGGAACCUGAUUAGCUUAACUAAUGCUAUUUGCUUUUGUAAAAAGCCGCUUGCAUAGGAGCUUGGUUAGCCUAAUAAACACCAUUUGCUUUUUGUAAAACUGCUUGCUUUGGAGAGGAAAAAGGGGAGGCAAAAGAAUGCUGAUAAAGUAAGACAAAGAGGUAGUGUGAAGAAGAAGACACGAGGUCAGGCAUGCAGUGGACAUGCAGACCCCGCAAGGGGAUUGGGUCAAGGGUCAGGCAGACCCUGAGAGGGGAUUGGGUGAAGGAGCAAUGGGGGCAAGAUUAAGUGAAAAAGGAAAAAAGUAUAAGAAGAGUCAGUUGGAGAAAUGUGUGUGUCGCUUCCUACCAGCGUGUAGGGAGCGGACACCUGGUUGCUUUGCUCAGCUGAAUAAAGAAAACUGAACAAAUCUC